CCACCUGCUGCGGGCAGAUGAAGUGGAUGUGGCAGUCGAUGCCGCCGGCGGUCAGGAUCUUGCCCUCGCCGGCGAUCACCUCGGUCCCCGGGCCGAUGACGAUGUCGACGCCCGGCUGGAUGUCGGGGUUGCCGGCCUUGCCGAUGGCGGCGAUGCGGCCGUCAUGGAUCGCGACAUCGGCCUUGACGAUGCCCCAGUGGUCCAGGAUCACGGCGUUGGUGAUGACGGUGUCGACGGCGCCUUCGGCCCGGGUCGCCUGGCCCUGGCCCUGG
This 272-nucleotide small RNA is filed under the name Inquilinus ginsengisoli. RNAcentral describes it as "5' ureB small RNA". It matches the Rfam family "5' ureB small RNA". Lineage: Bacteria; Pseudomonadati; Pseudomonadota; Alphaproteobacteria; Rhodospirillales; Rhodospirillaceae. The record is from RNAcentral.